GGACGAACGCUGGCGGCGUGCCUAAUACAUGCAAGUCGAACGGUCUUUCUAUGGAAGCUUGCUUCCACUGAGAAGAUAGUGGCGAAACGGGUGAGUAACACGUGGGUAACCUGCCCAUAAGAGGGGGGAUAACAUCCGGAAACGGGUGCUAAUACCGCAUAGUUUUCUUGAUCGCAUGAUUGAGAAAGGAAAGACGGCCUUUGUGCUGUCGCUUAUGGAUGGACCCGCGGCGUAUUAGUUAGUUGGUGAGGUAACGGCUCACCAAGACGAUGAUACGUAGCCGACCUGAGAGGGUGAUCGGCCACAUUGGGACUGAGACACGGCCCAAACUCCUACGGGAGGCAGCAGUAGGGAAUCUUCCGCAAUGGACGAAAGUCUGACGGAGCAACGCCGCGUGAGUGAAAGAAGGUUUUCGGAUCGUAAAACUCUGUUGUCAGAGAAGAACAAGUUGGAGAGUAACUGCUCCAGCCUUGACGGUAUCUGACCAGAAAGCCACGGCUAACUACGUGCCAGCCGCGGC
RNAcentral lists this ribosomal RNA (520 nucleotides) under uncultured bacterium. RNAcentral's name for it is "bacterial SSU rRNA". It matches the Rfam family "Bacterial small subunit ribosomal RNA", at positions 27 to 518 of the family's 1533-position model. The record is from RNAcentral.